CUUAUGUUUUGGUUGUCGCAUCCCCCGCCUAACACGAAGACAUGCGGAAGCACUUGAAAUUUCCGAUGGCAGAAAGCCGCCUGCUCCAUAUGGCGGCUUGAUUGGCAACGGCUGGCUGGCUGGCUGGCUGUCUGUCGGCUUGGCUUGGUUUUAUGGAGCACUGUUUAACGAGGCACGUCUGCUGGCCACGAAAUCUGGCACGUAACUGAAAAAGGUUACCUCAAAAUUGGACCAGCCAAGGGGAUGCUGCGACGCUGACGUCGCUGUCAACGCCGUUUUGCUGUCUGUUUUAUUGUUUGUUGGGGUGAGAGAGAAACAGAGAGCGAGAGCGCGCCGCCUGCGCAUUGCUGCCCACAUUUUAUUCAAAGGGUGCAGCCAGGCAGCUGAAUCAACCCCAAGAGCGCGUGUAGAGUUCUCUCUCGCUCUCGCUCACUCUAACUCUCCAGUUGUAGACUUUACACGCCCGGCAACGGCGACUGCCCGACCGAGUGGCGCCAGCCGGCAAAGUGCCAGCGUUUUGCGCAGCUUAAGCGGCGCAGCGGCAGAGGGCAGCGAACUGGAAGCCACAGGGGCGUAAUCUGAUCGGAGUGAAAAACGGGCUGCGCGGCAAUCCCGUUUAUGCAGCGAGGGAGCGUGCGCAGGGUUUGUUGAAGGAUACAUGCAAUAUUUUGCUCUGUGGUAAAGGAUAUAAAAUGCUAAUAUGGGAGUUACGCACGGGAAAGUUGGCAAACGUAUUUAACGAAAUUAAGAAUCUGAAUAAAUAAUCAAACUUUGUGCACUUUGGUAAAGUACUUGGAAAAA
Long non-coding RNA from Drosophila montana, 801 nucleotides. RefSeq lists it as uncharacterized. NCBI's taxonomy places the organism in Eukaryota, Metazoa, Arthropoda, Insecta, Diptera, Drosophilidae. The record is from RefSeq and is a predicted model, not a curated record. The transcript has 2 exons.